Varanus komodoensis (Komodo dragon) is the source of this 1463-nucleotide long non-coding RNA. RefSeq lists it as uncharacterized. The record is from RefSeq and is a predicted model, not a curated record. The transcript has 4 exons. Lineage: Eukaryota; Metazoa; Chordata; Lepidosauria; Squamata; Varanidae.
AAAUCCCUAUGUUGUCUCUCCUUUUCAUUAAGGAACUGAGAAGAGAGCCUGUUAAAAUGAGCACUUGCUGACAAGAGACCAAAGGAUAAUUAUAUGGAUCAAGAGACAAUUAAACAGUUAGAAAUAUUUUUAGGACAAAAUCCUAUGACUGUUUGGACAGAUAAAAAGUCAUAGUAUUCCCCAUAUUCCCACUGGGGAUUGUAGAACUUUCUUCUGUUUAAACAUGUGGGAUUGCACCCUUAGACACAAAAUUUUCAAGCACUAAAAGGUAUGUAAAGACCUUAUAGUACAACAGGUAAAAACUGCUGACUCACAACAUGAAACCUUAUUAUCUUUGAAUAAUCUAAACAGGAGAUUGCUGUUAGUGAUGUGUUUUUGUUUUCCUUUUUUAAGCUCAUGGAAGCUAAAUAGUUAUCAGUUGCUCUGGAACUAUACAAACAUCGGAAGACAAUAUGGACAUUACAGAGAAAAUCAUAUUAAUGAUAAGGAAAGGAAGAAAGUAAUGACAAAAUAAAAUGGAUAAAAUGGAGUAUGUAAAAUCAACUGCCUCAAAACAGGGUUUUCUCUUUUAAAAAAAAUGGUUAGUAAGAAUAUUUACACCACAAUAAAGAUUCCUUCACCAUCUCUCCAGAAGCAGUGCAUAUAUUGUACGUGGAGGGUCCUUGGUCCAAUCCCUGGCAUCGUAGGACCGGCAAGUUGUGACUGCUUUGAUGUUUUGGCUUUCAACUCCUAUCUGCCCCAACCAGAAGAGGUAUGAAGGGAACUGUAAGCCAGAGCAUCUGAAGGGCCAAAAGAAGCCCGCCUGAGGCAAACUGGUAAGGGACAGCACCUUCAUAGCUUGUCUUGCCAAGUGUACUGCACAGUGUUGCUCCAGUUUGCUUAGGCCGCAAGGAAGAAAAAGCCCAUGCGCCUUUGCCACAGCAGCCCUCCAGCACGGACCGUUGAAGAGCCCCUGGCAAGCAAGCCUUGCUGUGGUAUCUGAUGUGUGACAACCCGCUGGCUUCACGUGACUCACGCAGGCUGCUUCCCAGCCACUGACUGGCCAUGUCAUGCCAGAGGAUAUCCAUUUUAGCAGCAAAGAGAAACGGCAGAACGAAUUCUGUUUCAACACAAAUGUGGCAAGGUACCUGCCACGGGAGACAAGAGAUGAGAAGACUGCUGACAGAACACUGCCCCGCGCCUCUCAUAACUCUCUACCUUCAAAUGCCAAUGGAAAAGGAAAUCCUCCACAAAAAUAGCACUCCUGAAAGCACAACUCUGCCUGUAGGAAAGGUAUUCACCGUGCUUUCUAUCAAAAUUGGACCUUCUUCCACCACCACUUGUGCGAUUUGGUGACAGUAGGAGUGAGGUGCACCCCAAUCCCUGGAAGUCACCCAACUCUGUGUUAACGUAUAAGGUCACCAAGGUAUUUUAUUGAUUGAUUGAUUGACUGAUUGAUUGAUAUCCUGCCUUUUUCCUACAAA